UGCAAGUCGAGCGGCAGCGGAAAGUAGCUUGCUACUUUGCCGGCGAGCGGCGGACGGGUGAGUAAUGUCUGGGAAACUGCCUGAUGGAGGGGGAUAACUACUGGAAACGGUAGCUAAUACCGCAUAACGUCGCAAGACCAAAGAGGGGGACCUUCGGGCCUCUUGCCAUCAGAUGUGCCCAGAUGGGAUUAGCUAGUAGGUGGGGUAACGGCUCACCUAGGCGACGAUCCCUAGCUGGUCUGAGAGGAUGACCAGCCACACUGGAACUGAGACACGGUCCAGACUCCUACGGGAGGCAGCAGUGGGGAAUAUUGCACAAUGGGCGCAAGCCUGAUGCAGCCAUGCCGCGUGUAUGAAGAAGGCCUUCGGGUUGUAAAGUACUUUCAGCGGGGAGGAAGGCGUUGAGGUUAAUAACCUCAGCGAUUGACGUUACCCGCAGAAGAAGCACCGGCUAACUCCGUGCCAGCAGCCGCGGUAAUACGGAGGGUGCAAGCGUUAAUCGGAAUUACUGGGCGUAAAGCGCACGCAGGCGGUCUGUCAAGUCGGAUGUGAAAUCCCCGGGCUCAACCUGGGAACUGCAUUCGAAACUGGCAGGCUAGAGUCUUGUAGAGGGGGGUAGAAUUCCAGGUGUAGCGGUGAAAUGCGUAGAGAUCUGGAGGAAUACCGGUGGCGAAGGCGGCCCCCUGGACAAAGACUGACGCUCAGGUGCGAAAGCGUGGGGAGCAAACAGGAUUAGAUACCCUGGUAGUCCACGCCGUAAACGAUGUCGACUUGGAGGUUGUGCCCUUGAGGCGUGGCUUCCGGAGCUAACGCGUUAAGUCGACCGCCUGGGGAGUACGGCCGCAAGGUUAAAACUCAAAUGAAUUGACGGGGGCCCGCACAAGCGGUGGAGCAUGUGGUUUAAUUCGAUGCAACGCGAAGAACCUUACCUACUCUUGACAUCCAGAGAACUUUCCAGAGAUGGAUUGGUGCCUUCGGGAACUCUGAGACAGGUGCUGCAUGGCUGUCGUCAGCUCGUGUUGUGAAAUGUUGGGUUAAGUCCCGCAACGAGCGCAACCCUUAUCCUUUGUUGCCAGCGGUCCGGCCGGGAACUCAAAGGAGACUGCCAGUGAUAAUCUGGAGGAAGGGGGGGAUGAC
This 1137-nucleotide ribosomal RNA is filed under the name Enterobacter roggenkampii. Its description in RNAcentral is "bacterial SSU rRNA". It matches the Rfam family "Bacterial small subunit ribosomal RNA", at positions 56 to 1183 of the family's 1533-position model. Lineage: Bacteria; Pseudomonadati; Pseudomonadota; Gammaproteobacteria; Enterobacterales; Enterobacteriaceae. The record is from RNAcentral.